This 497-nucleotide ribosomal RNA is filed under the name uncultured bacterium. RNAcentral describes it as "partial 16S ribosomal RNA". It matches the Rfam family "Bacterial small subunit ribosomal RNA", at positions 28 to 507 of the family's 1533-position model. The record is from RNAcentral.
GAUGAACGCUGGCGGCGUGCCUAAUACAUGCAAGUCGAGCGAACAGAUAAGGAGCUUGCUCCUUUGACGUUAGCGGCGGACGGGUGAGUAACACGUGGAUAACCUACCUAUAAGACUGGGAUAACUUCGGGAAACCGGAGCUAAUACCGGAUAACAUAUUGAACCGCAUGGUUCAAUAGUGAAAGGCGGCUUUGCUGUCACUUAUAGAUGGAUCCGCGCCGUAUUAGCUAGUUGGUAAGGUAACGGCUUACCAAGGCAACGAUACGUAGCCGACCUGAGAGGGUGAUCGGCCACUCUGGAACUGAGACACGGUCCAGACUCCUACGGGAGGCAGCAGUAGGGAAUCUUCCGCAAUGGGCGAAAGCCUGACGGAGCAACGCCGCGUGAGUGAUGAAGGUCUUCGGAUCGUAAAACUCUGUUAUCAGGGAAGAACAAAUGUGUAAGUAACUGUGCACAUCUUGACGGUACCUGAUCAGAAAGCCACGGCUAACUACGUG